Long non-coding RNA from Argiope bruennichi, 734 nucleotides. RefSeq lists it as uncharacterized. The transcript is spliced from 3 exons. The record is from RefSeq and is a predicted model, not a curated record. NCBI's taxonomy places the organism in Eukaryota, Metazoa, Arthropoda, Arachnida, Araneae, Araneidae.
AACUAAGAAUUGUGUUUGGUUUGUCCAUUCGAUUGCUUAUAAAGUGAUCGAAGAUUAAAAUGUUGGUUUUGGGAUGCAUGUAAAUAAGAUGUGUUCAGAGUGAUUGUUAAAAGAAAGUUGCGAGAAGUAAUUGUUAGGCGAUUGUUUUUAACUUUGUGUUUUUAAUUUACAAGCGAUGCAUAUAUUACAGAUCUUCGUGCUGUUGUGCGGGUUGAAAAAAAUUUUCGAUCAAAGAAUACCCGAUGACUGGCAAAAUACUAAAGGGAUAGCUCUCAUUUCUUCCGAGUUGUAUUACCCUCAUUAUUUUCAUAUGUGCUACCGAAGAGCAUUGCCUCCCUUUUCUAUUGGCUCCGGGUCUUUCAACCAAUCCAAAAAGUUAUCAGUACGUCAUUUUCAAUGGUAUGCUCAACAGAUUUUACGUGUUUUAAUACAGAAUGAAAGAUGCUAUUUUCCAAUUACUUGAAAGUUACUUCAGAUGUCUGGAUUCCUUGCUUCGUUUCAUAAUGGCUCGCACAUCUAAAACUACAUAAUCAUCUGUAAUUUGCUCAAAACGACUCUUCCUAUGAAGAGGAUGCUUUUAAAAUUGUGAUGUUCCCUGUGCAGCUGGAAACAAUGUCCAUCGAUUUUUAAAAUUUUAAGCUGUUCUUAGAGAAUAUUAAAUUGUUAUCUCAAAAUAUGCGGGGCUGGACUCUCCCGCUUUGAUGUAAAAUGGAAUUGUACGAUAUGUUCCAAUU